This 480-nucleotide ribosomal RNA is filed under the name uncultured marine bacterium. Its description in RNAcentral is "bacterial SSU rRNA". It matches the Rfam family "Bacterial small subunit ribosomal RNA", at positions 30 to 506 of the family's 1533-position model. The record is from RNAcentral.
AUUGAACGCUGGCGGCAGGCCUAACACAUGCAAGUCGAGCGAGAAAGGUCUUCGUACUGAGUACAGCGGCGGACGGGUGAGUAACGCGUAGGAAUCUACCCAGUAGUGGGGGACAACUUGGGGAAACUCAAGCUAAUACCGCAUACGCCCUAUGGGGGAAAGCGGGGGAUCUUCGGACCUCGCGCUAUUGGAUGAGCCUGCGUCGGAUUAGCUAGUUGGUGGGGUAAAAGCCUACCAAGGCGACGAUCCGUAGCUGGUCUGAGAGGACGAUCAGCCACACUGGGACUGAGACACGGCCCAGACUCCUACGGGAGGCAGCAGUGGGGAAUAUUGCGCAAUGGGGGAAACCCUGACGCAGCCAUGCCGCGUGUGUGAAGAAGGCUCUAGGGUUGUAAAGCACUUUCAGCAGUGAGAAAAAGCCACCGGAUAAUACCCGUUGGUCUUGAUGUUAACUGUAGAAGAAGCACCGGCUAACUCCGU